This 30-nucleotide non-coding RNA is filed under the name Rattus norvegicus (Norway rat). Lineage: Eukaryota; Metazoa; Chordata; Mammalia; Rodentia; Muridae. The record is from RNAcentral.
GAGAGGUCUUACUGUCUUAUUUCAGAUCUU